This is a long non-coding RNA of Wyeomyia smithii (pitcher-plant mosquito), 875 nucleotides long. RefSeq lists it as uncharacterized. The record is from RefSeq and is a predicted model, not a curated record. The transcript has 3 exons. Lineage: Eukaryota; Metazoa; Arthropoda; Insecta; Diptera; Culicidae.
UGUACCAUCUGCCGAAAUUUUGCUGAUUUAAAAUACCACGAGACUUUUAUUUUUUGAUUUGUCAUCAUCAAGCGAUGGAUUCGCAGCUAAACUGACUUUGAUUGAUCCGAAUCAAUUCGCGAAGUAGCGAGGCUCAUCUGGGUACAAUCAACAAUGCAUCAACUUGCUGCACUUGAGCAACUCCUGAGCUCUGAUUUCCAGCGCGCCGCCGUUGCUGGCCAGCGGCAACGCCAACCAAUAAAACAACGCUUCGCUUUGUCUCGGGGCGGCCACUCGUUCGUGUUGGAUAUUGGAUGGAAGGCUUAAAACGAACAACAAAUAGGGGAAUUUAUCCAUGAAAUCCGCCAUGACGCCACCAUCUAUAGCAGCGAUGGACAGCGCAGAGCAUGACAACGUUAUUCCUUGCCGCUGCUGCUUCCACCACUGCUGCUUCCGUUACUCCAGUCGCCUUCCAUGCGCCACACGCUGAACAGGUAGCUGAGCUUCUCGUGUGCCAGGAUGCCACUGCCGCUGAAUUGCAGCCCACUGCUGGCGGCACCCGAGUUGACCAGAUUUUUUUGCGUUUCCUCCAGCAGCGGAAGUUCGUUGUUCGAUAGAACCCGAUAGAGGAAGUCGAUAUAUCUGCGUGGGAGAAGAAUAGAAAAAAUACAGGUUAGUUUGAUUUUUAAUUAUAAAUUUUUGAUAAAUUAUCUGUACCAUGGAUAACAUUCGAAGCAGAGAAGUUAAAUUUCCAACAUAUGCCCAUCCAACUUUAGAGAAUUGAUAGCAAGUGAACAAAAUUAAAACAACCAACCACGUUAUGAAAUGUUUUCGUAACACCAGCAAAAACACACAGCUAAAAGUGAAAAAAAGCGACGAAAACACAAAUGCACAAU